RNAcentral lists this transfer RNA (68 nucleotides) under Panesthia sloanei. RNAcentral's name for it is "tRNA-Ser". It matches the Rfam family "tRNA". From Rfam's summary of the family: Transfer RNA (tRNA) molecules are approximately 80 nucleotides in length. Lineage: Eukaryota; Metazoa; Arthropoda; Insecta; Blattodea; Blaberidae. The record is from RNAcentral.
AGUUAUUUAUCUAAGAAAGAAUUAUGUUUUGAAACCAUAAAUUAGAGGUUUAAUUCCCCUAAUAACUU